CUUAGGCAGCUCCCUGAUGAUGCUGCCGGCUCCUCUCCUAAGUGUGAUACUCUGUUCAGGGGAGGAGGCGUCGUCGCCAUCGCCUUCGUACGGUCCCGUGGACGAGAACGACUCCCUCAGACUCAGGUCCUUGGCCAUCUUCCUCCUCCUCAGGCGGCGCCAGGCGUGCUGGAUGAAGCACGCGGCCCAGGUCCUCCAGUGGUGGGAGUAGUACCGGAACGUGUGCUGCAGCUUCCUACUGUGGAGGCGCCUGAACUGGCUGGCGACGAACCUCAGGUCGUCGGCCUGGAGAGCGAACGCCUCGACCUCGAGAACCGCCUUCA
This 323-nucleotide unclassified non-coding RNA is filed under the name Zea mays. RNAcentral describes it as "misc RNA Zm00001eb374370". The record is from RNAcentral. Lineage: Eukaryota; Viridiplantae; Streptophyta; Magnoliopsida; Poales; Poaceae.